Molecule: long non-coding RNA, 310 nt
Filed under: Physcomitrium patens
Lineage: Eukaryota; Viridiplantae; Streptophyta; Bryopsida; Funariales; Funariaceae
Description: long non-coding RNA (PPAT_LNC007339)
Source: RNAcentral
AUGUGUUAUUAGCUGCUCGUAUUGCCCAUCCAUGUUCUAUAUCAAUUGGCCAUUUUUGCUUCUUAUAAAGAUCUUUAGACAUGAGAUUUAUUUCAGAACCAUGGUCCACCAAGGCAACUAUUGGUUCUUCUAUAUCUCCUACCUUCACCAAUACCUCAGUAGUUGCCCUUGCCCAAUGCUUUCGAGUAUAAUGGCUCAAAGUUUCCAUUUCCUUGUCACUAGAAUCUUCGAAACGUACUCGCUGAUUAUACCCAUUCUUUUCAUUUGUUGGUUGCUUGUAACCAAUAUCAACCUCUUCUUCAUUUCUACA